RNAcentral lists this transfer RNA (63 nucleotides) under Ictidomys tridecemlineatus (thirteen-lined ground squirrel). RNAcentral's name for it is "Spermophilus tridecemlineatus (thirteen-lined ground squirrel) tRNA". It matches the Rfam family "tRNA", at positions 5 to 66 of the family's 71-position model. Rfam says of the family: Transfer RNA (tRNA) molecules are approximately 80 nucleotides in length. Lineage: Eukaryota; Metazoa; Chordata; Mammalia; Rodentia; Sciuridae. The record is from Rfam by way of RNAcentral.
AUGUGGCUCAGUGGUAGAGCAUUUGCCCAACGUGCAUGAGGCCAUAGGUUUAAUUCCCAUCAU